GUCUACAGCCGUGCCACUCUGAACAAGCCUGAUGUCUGAUCUCAGAAGCUAAGCAUGGUUGGGCCUGGUUAGUACUUGGAUGGGAGACUACCUUGGAAGACCAGGUGUUGUAGGCA
This 116-nucleotide ribosomal RNA is filed under the name Pteropus alecto (black flying fox). Lineage: Eukaryota; Metazoa; Chordata; Mammalia; Chiroptera; Pteropodidae. The record is from RNAcentral.